GCAUGCGCCCGUUAGGCGCCUCCUGAGCUGCCACAAGCUCCUCGGACUAAGCCAGGGGAGAGCUCUACACGAGGACUUGGGGCUCGGCUUCCAGUCUGCGCAUGCUCCUUGUGCCCCCCUUGGGCUGGCUUGGGGCAGGGCCGGUUAUGAGGAUUGGGGCUCCGCAAUGCCCACUUGUGCGGUCUCCUGCUUCUGGGGCUAGUUCAGGGUUUAGGGAGGAUUGGGGCUCAGCUUCAGGUUUCUACAUUGUGGUAGGGCUGGUGUAGUGGUUUGAAGGUUAGAGGCCAUGGGGUUUGAAUCCCAGGUCAGCAGUGGUCACCUUGCUGACAUCUUGGCCAAGGCACCUCACCGUUCUCAGCCUCAAUUGCCCCAGCUUAGGGAGGACUAGCACUUCUGGCUUGAGGACUUGCUGCAUCCUUUUCAGGGCUGUUCAUUCACCUUUGGCGUCCAUUGGCCCUAAGCUCUCACCUGUGGUUCCAAGAAGCUGUGACAUUUAAAGCAGCCACACCUUGGCCAUCUUAACAACAGGCUAAAUUGGGUUAAGGCUAACCAACAGGCCUCCAACCCAUUGGUGAGUCAGGGGAGUGUCUACCCCCAAGCGUGUGAAGACUUCCUCAGCUGGACUGGUCAAAUAAGAACAAUUUGCUUCAAAGGCCAUGAAAGCCACUGAAACACCUAGAGCUUGGUCAGAUAUUGAAGAUGCCAAGGUCAUCCACUACAUCCUGGGCCAUAGUCAUCCUGACCAUCUUGCCAUUGGACCACAAUGACUUUGGAAGAGUGAGGCUAAGUGCAACUCUGCCUGACUUAAAUCCAAUUCAAGCAUGAAUCAAGACGUCCCAUCACUUCAUGAUGUCAUUAGUAUUCUUUGAAAACAAAGGACUAACAAGCAUCGCAAAUCCUGAGGUGCUGUUCUGUAUGGUCCUCCUGCAAAUGUGCACCAUAUUGGAUACUUCCUGGGCAGGUAUCCAUCCAGUUCUACUGAACCCUUCCAGGCACUGGGUUUUGACCCCCUCUUGGUCUGCCUAUGAGGCAAACCACAGAGGAGCUACAGGACCUGGAGGAUGGAACAGAAGAGUUCAAUUCACAAACCAUCUAUCUCAAAGGCAGGAAAUUAAAGAUGUAACUUACCGCUAUCCCCCAUUUUGCUACCAAAAAUCAACGCUACACUAUCAAUUAUCACAUAAUGAUUAAUGCUUUGAAAAAUAUGAUCAUCAUUGUUCAGGUCAAAUUGUUCUAACUGGCAGCUACCAGCAUGUUUUGAAACACAAGUUCUAGGUCCUUAAUCUGAUUUAAUAGAGUAAAUUCAAUAUGUUUUCUUUUGCCUCAAUUCUAUACAACCGUAACACUGUACUACAUACAUGCAUACAUAUAUGUAUAUAUAUAUAUAUACAAGUCAUUGAUUGUUUUUUUAAAAAAUUGUAUAAAAUAUGCAUCUUCCUUUUAGAACAAAAGUACCUGACCACCCACAAAAUUUCACCUGAUUAAGAAUAUGAUGUUCACCACAAUGUACAAUUUUCAAAUUGAGUAUGAAGGAAACUAUCUUAUUUUUGAUUUAUCCCCUUAAUCUCUAGUUCAAAUGAAGCUAAAGUCAUAAGAUCAAAUUGCCAACAAACAGAAAUCAACCCAGUGGAGUGGGGUGUGGAAAGGUGGAGAGGAAUAAUUUUUCAUAAUUUCCAUUUUAUAGCUAUACUGUCAUUACUAAUCAGGGCAAUUCUACUACUUUAAUUCCUGUUUUAAUUCCUUCAAUUUAUGUCACUCGGACGCUCAGGUUAUUGUCUGUCCCCUUUGGUUCUGAAGUCACUACUUUUUUUCCAGUAUAUGAAAACAGAUUUCUUUCUGUUCUAAGUAUGUGUAUUCUACAGGCUUCUUUGAUGUUUCAGCCUGGGCUUUAUGCCUUUCCCUUUUCAUUAAAAACAAACAACCACAAACUUAAUCCUUCCAUGCUGCUUAAAGAAUCCUUUUUUUCUGUCAUUUUCUGUGUGCUACUGGAUUCAUUUGUCUAUACAGGUCAGAAUUGUUGUAAUCUAUAAUGGAAGUAUCUUUUAACAUCUUUGAAAGGAGAAUUUAUGUUUCUUAUUUCCAAUUACCUCCAGCUACCUCUCCACUUAGUUGUCCAGACAGCGUCUCAAACUAAAAUUGUCCCAAACUGAAAUCAUCAUUCCCUCCCAUUCCCUCCUGCCUGUCCAAGUUGCUCCUACCCUAACUUCUCCAUUUAAAAAAAUCCAUUCUUUUCCCAGUUAUCCAGGCUCAAAACUUAGUCAUCUGAUAGACCACAGCCCAUCUUAGCCAUCACUCAUAAAUUAUAUUCUGGGGUUCCAAAGGAAUCUAUGGACACGAUAGCUGAACUGCUAUGAGGAACCUCUGAAAAUGCACAGUGCUACAUAGGCUAGAGGCAGGUAAAUGUCUUAAUUUUCCAAAAGAGGAAGAAUGUGAACUGUUCAACCUAUAGUUUGGAGAGCUUGACUAAGAUUUUUGGGAAAUUCUAGAAGAUUUUGUUAAAAGGAUAACUUGUGAGCGAUUAGAAAGGGAAACAGUAGUUAACAGUGCCAAAGUAGAUCUAUUAAGAAUAAGUUACAUCACACUAACCACAUUAGCUUGUUUGACAGGUUUAUGAGACUAGGUAAGUGGAAAGUCAAAUGCCAUGUACUUGUAGCUUGGCAAAAUGCCUGAUAGAAUUUCUUAUGUUAUCCUUGUAGAUGAAAUGGAGGUAUGUAGACAUAAGAGUACAUUUUGGCAGAUUCAGUUUUAGACUCAAUGCACAGAGACUGAUGUCACUGAGAAAGAUCUAAUGAAGUACCACCUUGCUUUGUCUUCGGUCCUGUUCUAUUCAAUGUUAUUAGUGAUUUGAAUGAAGACCAUAUGGAAUGUUUAUGAAAGCUGUGUAUGGAACUGGGAGAAGUAGCUGAUUCACUGGAUGGAAGAAUUCCAUAAAGAGCUCAGUAUGAUAGGAUGAAGGGCUACAUCUAUUAAGAUCAUAUUUAAAGGGAAUAUAUGGAAAUUCCUUUUGAUUACAAAACAGUCAUUUGUACAAAUACAUUUUAGGGGGAGAUAUGACUAGACAAGAGUUCAUGUGAAAAGAAUCUGGAGAUUUUAACAGAGUGCAAGCUCCUCAUGAAUCAUCAGUGGAAUUUGCUAGCCAAAAAAGGCUAAUGAAAUUUUAGCCUAUAUUAACAGAGGUAUAGUGUCUAGAUCAAGAGAGAGGAUAGUGUUAUUGUAUUUGCCCCUGGUCAGAGGCAUCUGGAAUAUAUUUCCAGGUACUACAUUUUAGGAAGGAUAUUGACAAGCCAAAGGAAGGUACCAAGAAUGCUGUAGGCAUGCAAAGCCAUGCCAUACUUGUUUAAGGAACUUCAGAUGUUUAGCCUAUGGAAAGGAAUGCCUUGUAAAAACCUGACUGCUGGAAAAAUAUCUGACAAAAUUUCUUACAUUUGGAUGGUCUUGUAUUUGAAUGUGGAAGAAGGAUUAGAUUUGUUUGGCCUUAGAAGUCAGAACUAGGAAAUUCUAGGGGCGCAAGGUAGGGGAGGAGUGAGUUUUCACCUCAGUACAUGGAAACAAUUUUGGAACAAUUGGAUAACAAAAAAGCAGAAUGGCAGAGAAUGUUGGUUCAAAUUCCAGUUAUCUGGUCCUUGGGUGUCCUCAACUGCAAAAUGAGAGGAUUGCACCAAAUGACUUCUGAGGCCUCUUCCAGUUCUAAAGAGUUCCCCAUCAAUGAAGAUCUUGAUUUGGAGGUGGUAUGGCUGUUUGUUGAGGAUGCUUUUGGAGAUAUUGUUUCAGUUAUGGGUAAGACUAUCUUCCCUCUGAAGUCCCUUCCAAUCACGAGGUUCUAUGACUUAUGCUGCUCCCCACUCCCAUGCUCUACUAAACAACACUACUUAUCCUGAUAUUCGGAGCCAUCCAUAACCUGCCUUAAUCCUACCUUAUUUGCUUCAUGUACCUAACAUUCCAACAAACUGAACUAGGGGUUAUUUCAUUUUUUUGUCCGGUUUUCUCUUACCUCUGCACCUUUGUUUAUCUUUUCUCCCAUGCCUUGAAUUGAGACCUUCCUUGACACCCUGACACAUCCUUCAUCUACUUAAAUCCCUCCCUUACUUAAAGGCCUAGCUUAGGCGUCAGCUUUUCCAUAAAAUCUCCCCUAAUACCCUUAAGCUGAAAGCUAUCUUUUCCUCUUCAGAUUUCUAGAUUUGACCUAGAUAUCUAGGUUUAACCCUGUCUAGACCACUCCUUUCUUCUUUAUCGCUUUUUUGCUUUCUGAUUACUCAUGCACAUGAUCCAUCCCUCCUAUUAAACUGUAAGGGCCUUGAGGAUAAGGACUCCGCCAUUUGUUAUGUCCUUAUUUCAUUUAGGACACAGCAUAGUCCCUUGCACACUAUAGAUGCCUCAGAAAUAAAUAUUUGUUGAGUUAAAUCAGAUUGAGAGGCGUUCAAAAACAGAUUCUGACCAAGUUGCCCGCUUUGGGGCGGGGGGCAGGUAGAGGGCCCUGAACCAAAGAUUUCAUUACUAUAAUAACUGUCGCUCUGCAACUUCAACAUGGGUCAAGACUUGAAACCAGAUUUUCCAACUAUGAGGUCAGUGACGAGGUGCACGACACCAAGCUGGCUGACUGAGCUGAUACUUACUAAGAUGAAUGGUCACUCUUUAGUCUCUACUUGGAUAACUCAGAAAUCCACCUUAGUGGAAGAUGACUGGUCAUAACACUGGGAAUUAAUUUGUCUCAUUCUCCUCCAUUAUUAAGCACUACUAACAAUUACUUAAGAGGCAGCAUUACAGAGUGGAUAGAGGUCUGUCCUUGGGGUCAGAAACAUUUGUUAAAUGAAUGGAAUAGUAGUAUGCCAUAGGAAAGGAUGAAAUGGAUAGUUUUAGUGAAAAUUGGGAAGACCUCUAUGAAAUGAUGAAGCAGGAAAUGAACAGCAUUAGGAGAGAAAGUUAUAUACAAUGAUAACAUUAUAAAGAAAAACAACGUUGAGAGACUAAAAGUUUGAUUAAUGUAAUGAUAACCAUGAUUCCAGAGGACUGCAGCAUGCUGCCUGUUGCUCUAGAAGCUGUUGUUCAGUUGUGUCCAACUCUUCAUGACCCUGCGGA
This is a long non-coding RNA of Phascolarctos cinereus (koala), 5076 nucleotides long. RefSeq lists it as uncharacterized. The record is from RefSeq and is a predicted model, not a curated record. Lineage: Eukaryota; Metazoa; Chordata; Mammalia; Diprotodontia; Phascolarctidae.